UUUGUUGGGCAACCAGCACAGCUUUUUCAUGUUGUCUGUGUGUCCUCACCCGCCCCAACCUAUUUAGGUCAAUACAAGCAACUUCAGAGGAAGUCACUGCCUGGUUAUAAGUCUACAGCUUUGGACUGCAGAGGACAGACUGUGCGAGGAAAACAAGAGCACUUCUGGACCGUCAACAAGCAGCCGGUAGCUUCUGAAUAUCACACAGGGUAUCCACCGGAUGGUGUUCGGUCCCUUUGCUUUGGAAAUUGAAGCAGAUCCCUGAACUCAGUUCCUUUGCCAGAGGACACGCUGCUUUGUACGGAGACCCGCCUGAGGCGAGGUACCUGACUGCAUCGCUUCACGGCGCACGAGAUCCACCUGCGCUUCGUUCCCCACAGCGAACCUGGGAGCUGGGAUGCAAACCUUCCCGGAGCGCGAAGGGGUCGUUGAAGAGGACCGAUAGGCCAACAUGUUGCCCGUGAGGCACCGCAAGGGGGGGAAUAUUAGCAGGAGGAGAUCAGAGGAAGAUAAGCGAGGAGCGAGCCGCUUCCCCGAGACCUUCCACUGCGGAUCCGAGAGGGAACAUCAGACGCGUUAAAAAACAAAACAAAACAAAACAAAACAAAACCAAC
Molecule: long non-coding RNA, 614 nt
Organism: Aquila chrysaetos chrysaetos
Lineage: Eukaryota; Metazoa; Chordata; Aves; Accipitriformes; Accipitridae
Exons: 2
Source: RefSeq, a predicted model, not a curated record